This 337-nucleotide unclassified non-coding RNA is filed under the name soil metagenome. Its description in RNAcentral is "partial contains 5.8S ribosomal RNA, internal transcribed spacer 2, and large subunit ribosomal RNA". The stretch from base 1 to 120 matches the Rfam family "5.8S ribosomal RNA", at positions 35 to 154 of the family's 154-position model. The record is from RNAcentral.
GAUGAAGAAAGUAGCGAAAUGCGAUAAGUAGUGUGAAUUGCAGAAUUCAGUGAAUCAUCGAAUCUUUGAACGCACAUUGCGCCCCUUGGUAUUCCAUGGGGCAUGCCUGUUCGAGCGUCAUUUGUACCUUCAAGCUCUGCUUGGUGUUGGGUGUUUGUCUCGCCUCUGCGUGUAGACUCGCCUCAAAACAAUUGGCAGCCGGCGUAUUGAUUUCGGAGCGCAGUACAUCUCGCGCUUUGCACUCAUAACGACGACGUCCAAAAGUACAUUUUUACACUCUUGACCUCGGAUCAGGUAGGGAUACCCGCUGAACUUAAGCAUAUCAAUAAGCGGAGGA